AUGAGGGGGGUCGCCGCAAACAUAGUGGCGCACCUCGCCGGCAAGAUCCGUCUGAAGCGAUUCCCUCGUGGGAUCCAGUGCAUAGGCUCGCUGCUUGAGAUAUCUCAGGGGCAAGCUGAAGACGGCCACCAGUGUGCGCCGUCUGCUGACUACGACUACAAGAAGCUCAUGGAGAAAGGCCUGGUUAUCCUCGACGGGCUCGCCGCCGAUGAGCACAACUGCAGAGUCCUCGGCAACGCCGAGGCCUUGCUCGCCAAGGUCGUGGCGCCUGUAAGCUGCGACCUGCUCCACCUCAUCGACCAUGAUGCCUGGUCAAUUGUGGUGGCCGCGUCACUGCAGGUCAUGUGCCGCCUCGUGGCUGCUCCAGGAGAGACCGGUGCCAAGCUACGUAGCCAAAUCUCUAGCAACAAGGAAGGGACCAAUAGCAUGGAGGGGAUUCUCAAAUGCGACGAAUGUGAGGAAAAGCUCCAGGUCCUGACCAUCAAGAUCCUCACGCAGCUGCCCAUGGAUGUGGAUGUAUGUCCGACUGCUGUGAACACAGAAAGCAGAGGAAAUUUUGUCAAGAUGCUCCCAGACAUCUUCACUUGUGACAGUAAGGACAGCUCCAUCAGAAAAUUGGCAGGCGAAGCACUGGUCAUGUUAAGCCAAAGUAAUGUUGCCAUCAUCUUGAGGGCAAAUGUCAAUGUGGUCCAAGAUCUCACCAACAUCCUUUUAGAUGAUAAGGCUUACAACACACAUCGAAUCAAUGCAGCUGAAACCCUGGAGCAUCUGUAUAUUCACUACAAAGAAAAUGACGACCAUCACAAGAAACUCAAGGAGGCCAUGGAGGGCAUCAUGCGAAAGGUAUUGAGUUCUCCCGAAAAUACUUUCUUUUGGGUCAAAAAAGAAAGGAACACCAACAGAAAAGGAUGUUGGUCCUUUGCUAGGCACGGGCGACGUAGAAGCCCAAGACGGUGA
Molecule: ribosomal RNA, 957 nt
Filed under: Triticum aestivum (bread wheat)
Lineage: Eukaryota; Viridiplantae; Streptophyta; Magnoliopsida; Poales; Poaceae
Description: partial small subunit ribosomal RNA
Source: RNAcentral